This 74-nucleotide transfer RNA is filed under the name archaeon. RNAcentral describes it as "tRNA-Arg". It matches the Rfam family "tRNA". From Rfam's summary of the family: Transfer RNA (tRNA) molecules are approximately 80 nucleotides in length. Their secondary structure includes four short double-helical elements and three loops (D, anti-codon, and T loops). The record is from RNAcentral. RNAcentral also lists the same sequence under 1 other name.
GACCGUUUAGCUCAGCGGAUUAGAGCGUCUGACUACGGAUCAGGAGGUCGUGCGUUCGAAUCGCACAUCGGUUA